This 446-nucleotide ribosomal RNA is filed under the name uncultured bacterium. RNAcentral describes it as "bacterial SSU rRNA". It matches the Rfam family "Bacterial small subunit ribosomal RNA", at positions 331 to 792 of the family's 1533-position model. The record is from RNAcentral.
CCAGACUCCUACGGGAGGCAGCAGUGGGGACUCUUGCACAAUGGGGGCCCCCCUGAUGCCGCGCCGCCGCGUGCCGGCCGAAGUAUCUCGGUAUGUAAACUUCUCUCAGCAGGGCAGCAACCAGACGAUCCCUGACUAAGAAGCCCCGGCUAACUACGUGCCAGCAGCCGCGGUAAUACGUAGGGGGCAAGAGUUAUCCGGAUUUACUGGGUGUAAAGGGGGCGCAGACGGCCAUGGCAAGCCCGGUGUGAAAGGCAGGGGCAUAACCGCUGGACUGCACUGGGAACUGUCAGGCUGGAGUGCCGGAGGGGUGAGCGGAAUUCCUGGUGUAGCGGUGAAAUGCGUAGAUAUCAGGAGGAACACCGGCGGCGAAGGCGGCUUACUGGACGGCAACUGACGUUGAUGCCCGACAGCGUGGGGAGCGAACAGGAUUAGAUCCCCUCGUA